UGGAAGCAUGCUUAUUGUGGAGUGCUGCUGUAUAGCUUUGAUGUGGGUGUAGGCUUGGUGCUUAGUUUUUCUUUGUUUGCUAAAUUGGGCUGUAUAUGGUACACUCAUUGUUUAGCCCAUUAAUCAUAAGUUUGACCACUCCUAUAGUUAAAAUUAUAUGCAUUUUUGCAUAUGAAUAACAAAAUAAUCAUUAACAUAUCAAUUGUAUAGACUUGCCGAGGCAAGUGUUCCAUUACUCUGACUUUUGGACCGUCCUCUCCUUCAGAAAUGGCCUUUUGGUUAAAUUGACAAAGGGAUUAGUUGAUGGUUAGCAUAAUAAUAUGUUUAAGCUUGAAGAUUAGCUGCAGUUAAUGGUAGUAGUUUGUCUCAGAAAAUGGGAGUGGGCUUAAGCAGCUCGAACAUCUCAUUUUGAAGGUCUUUACAGAAUCUCAAGCUAUUAGAAAACCAAUAUAUUGUAACAGAAGAAUCAUUUGUCACUUCAUGUUUUAUUCUUUGCUUAUUUCAUGAGAGAAAAUUAUUAGAGCGUAGUUAUUAGUAACUUUUCAUUGGAUUAAUUAACUUUAUUGAAGGAGAAAGUGAUGAUAUUCGUUCCCAUAUCUUUUAUGGUUGAUGAAGUUGUUAUCAUGUUUAAUGAUCUUUCGGUUUGCUUUUGUACUUGGUUUGCUUAAGAAACACAUUGCUUUCCAUAUUGCAUGAGCAAGAAGGUGCACUUUGUUUAUUCGAUUCCUCUAUUUUUCCAUUUUCAGGUAUGGUCUUCUCUCUCACUCAAUUUCUCUAUUUUUCUAUCUUUGUUUUCCCUAAUUUUUAGAAUUAAUAUUUUUCCUAAUUUUUUGAAGCUAAUGAGACACGCGGUGUCCCAUAUGUGAUUUCUUCGGGCUAUAUUUUGUAUUUAAAGGUUAUGUUCAUCUUAGUUUCCAUGUGCUUGCCAUGUUAUUGGUUCUUUAUGGGCAUCUUGUAUUUUGCAUAUAUUUUCAGUUUGAAUAUAGUAAUUGAGAGCAAUUAGACAGUUUAAGUAGUGGUAAUUUAGAAGUGCCUAUCUUUGUUACUUAUCAGGAGGACUACCAUAGUAGAGGGGGCAUUUUCUGCUAUUUUUUUGUGAAUUGAAUGGGUGACCAAAGAAUUUAUGAUAGCAUGGUUGUGUCUAUUGAGAAAUACAUUUGAAAUAGCAUUCCAAAUGAGGAUAUUGUGUAUCAUUUUCAACAUAAAAAAGUUGUAGAAGCCAUUUGUAAAUCAAAUUUGCAAGAAAUAUUUGAUUUUUCAUUUUCAACUUGUUUUAAUGAUCAAUGAGGAUACAAUUUCAUGUGUGAUUUUAGGUAAGUUUGGGUAAGGCAUAUCAAGUUUCCUAUGGAAAAAUGAGUAGUGGAAUAAGACUGAUUGACCUCAUAAAGGGACUGGCCAUGGCCAAAAAUGAAAUCAACAGAGCCUUGGAUGAAGCAAUUAUUGAAAUAGUGAAGGCCCUUGUGAUCAUAAAGGGUGUCUUGAGCACCAUAAAAACUGUAGUUAUAAAAUGCAGCCUCAGUCCCUGAUAUCCUUAGCACCACUGCUACCCUCCUGCUAAUCCAUCCUCAUGCGCUGCUGUGUUCUGCAUUACCCCCCACCCACAUAAUUUAACAGAAAAGCCAAACACCAAGAAUUUAUGAUCAGAAUUUUAUUCCCAAAAUUAGUAAUGCACGGUUCAAAUUUAACUUUUGUAUGUUGAAGCAAUGAAUCCGAACCAUGCAUUGAAAUUUUUUAGUAAAAAUUCUGUGUAUGUAGGAUUGUAGAGAAUUUAAUGAUGUAGAGAUUCAAAAAAAAAAAAAAAGAUGGUCCAUAAGCCUAAUUUGUUGUGUUGUGGGAGCUUUGCAGUUGUGAGUUGGCCUGGAUUAAAGCCAUGAAGGUUCUGAAUUUCUUUUCAGAAAACCCAUGAUCUCAUGAAUGUGUAGUUCUUAUGGACUCCACAAGGGAUGCCAAUUUUGAUUGUUUCGGUCUUUUGGAGUGAUUCAAGUAGCAGGGGAAUGUCUUUCUGUCUCUUCUUAUUCCAUCAUAUACAAUAGUCUCUUCUUGUAAGCUGUAAGAUAAAUUGAUAGAGAGAGAGAAAAUAAAUUAAGAUAAAUUGAUAGAGAGAGAGAAAAUAAAUUGUGUAUAUAUUGAUUGAUGAAUUACAAGGUUGUUGUGUUAUUGAUAUUACAAGGAUUCCUAUUAUAUAGAAGAGGAUUUGGGUAGUAGGUGAGGAGUAGGUGAGGGUAAGUUGGUGGUAGGUGUAGUAGGUGUGGUAGUAGGUGUAGUGGGUUAGGUUUAGUGGAGUAGGUGAGGUGGUAGUGGUGGUAGGUGAUGGUAAAUUCUAACAUAAGCCAUAAUAAAUUGCUGUUGGAUAUGCAACAAAAUAUGGUUAAGGCAACAUCUAGUUACAGUAAUGUUAUACUUAACACAAACAAAAUCUAAUUAUCUUAUUAUUAAUUGAAUUAUUAGGACUAUGUGGCAUUGGUGACUAUCAAGUCAUUUGGCCAAGGAAGAUUGCAGUCUAAUUUUUAAACUCUGGCAUCUAAUUCCCUUUUUUCUUGAAUUGUUUGGGAUUUCAAACCACUUACAUUGUUUCUCACAUAAAAUCCUUAUUAUUUAUAUGUAUAUAUUCUUUUUUUGGGUGUUGUUGGUAUGUUUGUUCCCUUUCCUCUUAUAAGCACUUCUAGAGACAGGGGGAAACAGAACAAGAGAGACACUAAUGUGCUGGAACUUCCCUUUGGAUGGCAUGUGGCAACAUCAUGAUAGGACAUAGUCAAGAUGGGUUGUCCCUUGGUCAUAUGGACAAUCAGUAUUCAAAAUGGUAAAAGAACUGUGCCAGGGAGUAUAUAGCUUUCAACUGAAGUUCUCAAAUCUGGACCAUCCUUUCUUCCUCUGGCUAAGGUGUCACCUAUUGGAUUAAUUGCAUGGAAGAUGUCAUUUAUGUACCCAUAAGAUCACAGCCAUGAUCACUACUCACAACAUGAAUUAAGUGCUUAUAAUUUAUAGCUAUGUAUGAAUUUAGGUAAUUUAUGAGAUUGGGUAAUUUUAGUUUUCCUCUGCAUUAGUUGAUCAACAGAAAUUCAGUGAUUAACAUCAAGAGAAUGACCAUGUUUACUAUGUAAAAUGUACGGCAAAAAAUUGGACAUGAUGACAUUUUUUUAUCUUUUAUUUUUUGUCAUUGAAGUUUGCUAUUUUUUGAAAAAACAUCAAAGUAUUUUAGUUGUCUUUUUUUUAAAGCAAUGUUAUGUGUUAUUAAUUUUUCAUUAUCUUUUAUAUUACUAUUUAUAUGAAUCAUCAUAUGAUAUAUCUUAUUUAGUGAUGAUUAUUAAAAAAUCAGAGCAUAAACAACUCCAGCUUCCAAAUCCUUAAAUACCUUCUAGAAGCAUAACAACCAAAGUGAACAAUUACUGAAAAAGCUCUAGCUCAACUAAGCCUUAUAGUAAGCCUUAGAGAAGUGAUCAAAUUUAGAAACCAAGUUCAAUGACAUGGUAGCAGAUAUAAUGGAUUAAAAUGACGAACUCACCAAAUUCUUUGGUUUGAUCUUAUCGGGUUUUGGUUUAGCUUUGGUUGGUGAUUGGCAUUUGUAUGAGAAAUUAGCUCCAAAUUCUCUGAUGUUGUUUCUCCCAAAAAACUUGAUGUCUGUUGCUCUUGUUUUUUGCUGCAUGGUGGUGAUGCUCAAGAACAAAAUUGCUUUUAGUGAUCAUUGUUUUUUCUCUCAUCUGUAUUGCUGACUUAAUAAUUUUUUUUUAAAGUAUUUAUUCUAUUUUUCUCUUAUUUGAAAACUUGAUCCAGAUUUGAUUUGAUCCAGUCUCUGUUCAGUCUAGAAGGGAUGUAUUUACCUGGUUAUUUUUCUUAGAGUUGAUUUGACCUUAAUCAUCCUUCUGUUUUUACUUCUAUAGCUUUAAUAUUGCACAACUUUCUCACAAGGGAAAAACAUGAUUCAGCUGAAAGUUGUACUUGUAAAAAACAAAAAUGAAUGUUGAAAAUAUUAUGAAAUGUAUGAUAGAUUUGAUUCUAAAAGAGAAGCUUUGUUUCCUCUGUUUUUUGGUCAGAUCCAAUAGAGAAGAUAAAUCUCUAUGAAAAUAAUUAGAUCAUCUGCCACCUUGAUGGAAAGUUCUUAAUGUUUUUACCUUCCAAGAGCACAUCUGAAGAAAACAUGAUGAUGAAGAUGAAAAGUUCAUGUAAAUAUUGUACAAAAUAUAAUGUAUUUGGACCCUUGUAAUAUAUAGGAAUAGCCCCCCAUGUGCUUGUAUAUGUGGUGUUUUAACAGGUUGGAGGCUUCUCCUUUAUUUGCCAAUUUCUAUGCUGCUCCUAUUGUGCUGUCUGCUACUUUUGUGCUGGCUUUGCUUAGGUUUUCUGUGUGCCAUCUUACUAACCAAUCAAUAUUAUCUACUUAUAUUUACUUUUUGUGUUAGGAUGAUUACAAUUUUUAUUGUAUCUUUAUUCAUUAUUCUAUUUAUUUCAAAAUGGCGGGACAAUAUGAUAAAGUUCCAGGAUGCACAUUGCUCCGAACCUGGUGUGGUUCCAAUUACUCCAGAGGAGCUAUCUGUGAAGGUGCUCAAGUGAAGGUCGGGAUAUGUUAAAGGACUUGGUUUGAGGCCUUCGUCCUUGGUCAGGACUACCACUGCUUCUACUGACUGUGACUAUGUAAGGCGUCUGGAGAUGGAAAUACAAGAGCAAAAGGAGGAAAUUCAGUCACAAAAAGAGGAAAUUAUAGCAUAGAAACAUGAAUUCAAGCACAAAGUUAUGUGAUAGCAAAGAUGAAUGAGUUGAGAGAGGAGCAUUUGGAGAUAACGUCAAGUAUCAUGGAGUUUCUUAAGAAACAAGGUUUCAACGGACAAUUUAGGGGAGGGGGCAUCCCAUGAACUCGUAGAUCGCCUUUUUGGUGAUCGAGUACCGGAUCAAAGAUAGUGGCGACGACCCGAACCCUUGUUUUGUCAAUCCAGCUAUUGUGCCUCAUCACAAGGUUCCGAACCAACAUGUGUCACGGCUUUUUGGGUGGCUCAAAUUCACCCUUUUAAUAUUGCUAAGUUGAAAGAAUGUUUUUGACUUUUGUUAAUACUGUUUUUGAUAAGGGGAUUUAAUUCCCUAACUUGUAUUUUGUCUUGUAUAUAUAUAUUUUAUGGACAUAAGUAUUUGUGGACAAAACUAUGUAUAUGAAAGUUUAUUUCCAUUCAGGUCCUCA
Molecule: non-coding RNA, 5164 nt
Organism: Camellia sinensis
Lineage: Eukaryota; Viridiplantae; Streptophyta; Magnoliopsida; Ericales; Theaceae
Source: RefSeq, a predicted model, not a curated record